UGGGAGCUUGCUCCCUGAUGUUAGCGGCGGACGGGUGAGUAACACGUGGGUAACCUGCCUGUAAGACUGGGAUAACUCCGGGAAACCGGGGCUAAUACCGGAUGCUUGUUUGAACCGCAUGGUUCAAACAUAAAAGGUGGCUUCGGCUACCACUUACAGAUGGACCCGCGGCGCAUUAGCUAGUUGGUGAGGUAAUGGCUCACCAAGGCAACGAUGCGUAGCCGACCUGAGAGGGUGAUCGGCCACACUGGGACUGAGACACGGCCCAGACUCCUACGGGAGGCAGCAGUAGGGAAUCUUCCGCAAUGGACGAAAGUCUGACGGAGCAACGCCGCGUGAGUGAUGAAGGUUUUCGGAUCGUAAAGCUCUGUUGUUAGGGAAGAACAAGUGCCGUUCAAAUAGGGCGGCACCUUGACGGUACCUAACCAGAAAGCCACGGCUAACUACGUGCCAGCAGCCGCGGUAAUACGUAGGUGGCAAGCGUUGUCCGGAAUUAUUGGGCGUAAAGGGCUCGCAGGCGGUUUCUUAAGUCUGAUGUGAAAGCCCCCGGCUCAACCGGGGAGGGUCAUUGGAAACUGGGGAACUUGAGUGCAGAAGAGGAGAGUGGAAUUCCACGUGUAGCGGUGAAAUGCGUAGAGAUGUGGAGGAACACCAGUGGCGAAGGCGACUCUCUGGUCUGUAACUGACGCUGAGGAGCGAAAGCGUGGGGAGCGAACAGGAUUAGAUACCCUGGUAGUCCACGCCGUAAACGAUGAGUGCUAAGUGUUAGGGGGUUUCCGCCCCUUAGUGCUGCAGCUAACGCAUUAAGCACUCCGCCUGGGGAGUACGGUCGCAAGACUGAAACUCAAAGGAAUUGACGGGGGCCCGCACAAGCGGUGGAGCAUGUGGUUUAAUUC
RNAcentral lists this ribosomal RNA (896 nucleotides) under Bacillus sp. (in: firmicutes). RNAcentral's name for it is "bacterial SSU rRNA". It matches the Rfam family "Bacterial small subunit ribosomal RNA", at positions 73 to 952 of the family's 1533-position model. The record is from RNAcentral. Lineage: Bacteria; Bacillati; Bacillota; Bacilli; Caryophanales; Bacillaceae.